GGGAAAGGUGAAAAGCACCCCGGGAGGGGAGUGAAACAGUACCUGAAACCGUGCGCCCACGAGCAGUCGGAGCAACUUUACGUUGUGACGGCGUGCCUUUUGUAGAAUGAGCCAGCGAGUCGCUGGCGCGGGGCGAGGUUAACCGAAAGGGAGCCGGAGCGAAAGCGAGCCUUAACAGGGCGACUUGAGUCCCGCGCCGCGGACGCGAAGCCGGGUGAGCUAUCCGUGGGCAGGCUGAAGCGGGGGUAAGACCCCGUGGAGGGCCGAACCCACUUCGGUUGAAAACGGAGGGGAUGACCCGUGGAUAGGGGUGAAAGGCCAAUCAAACCCGGAGAUAUCUCGUUCUCCCCGAAAUAGCUUUAGGGCUAGCGUCGCGCGUUCACCGCCGGAGGUAGAGCACCGGAUGGACGAGGGGGCUUCGCCGCCUACCGAAUCCAACCGAACUCCGAAUGCCGGCGGCCCAGAGCGCGGCAGUCAGAGCAUGUGGGCUAAGCUGUGUGCUCGAGAGGGAAACAGCCCGGACCGCCCGCUAAGGUCCCCAAGUUCCAGCCGAGUGGCAAAGGAUGUGCGUCCGCCCAGACAACCAGGAUGUUGGCUUAGAAGCAGCCACUCAUUAAAAGAGUGCGUAAUAGCUCACUGGUCGAGUGACUCUGCGCCGAAAAUUUAACGGGGCUAAACUAUACACCGAAGCUUGGGAUACAUCUAAUGUAUGGUAGGAGAGCGUUCUGUAUGGGGAGAAGUCGUAGCGAAAGCGGCGGUGGACUAUACAGAAGUGAGAAUGCCGGAAUAAGUAGCGAGAAUUAAGUGAGAAUCUUAAUGGCCGAAAGUCUAAGGUUUUUGGAGGAAGGUUCGUCCGCUCCAAGUAAGUCGGGAGCUAAGGUCAGGCCGAAAGGCGUAGCCGAUGCACAUACGGUUGAUAUUCCGUAACCAUCUGUAAUUUAAGCAAAGGGACACUUCAAAAGGGUGUGACCCGGGCGUUGGUUGACCCGGGCGUAAGGGACCGAAAUUAGAGUAGGGAAGCACACUUAGCUGAAGGCGAGAAAAGCUUUGCGUAUAGAAACAGAUGCCCGUACCGCAAACCGACACAGGUGGACAGGAAGAGAAUUCUAAGGCCAGCGGGAGAAGGGUAGUUAAGGAACUCGGCAAAUUGACUCCGUAACUUCGGAAUAAGGAGUGCUCGAAAGAGCCGCAGAGAAUAGGCCCAGGCGACUGUUUAGCAAAAACACAGGUCUCUGCCAAAUCGAAAGAUGAAGUAUAGGGGCUGACACCUGCCCGGUGCCGGAAGGUUAAGAGGAGGAGUGAGAGCUCCGAAUUGAAGCCCCGGUAAACGGCGGCCGUAACUAUAACGGUCCUAAGGUAGCGAAAUUCCUUGUCGGGUAAGUUCCGACCCGCACGAAUGGUGUAACGAUCUGGGCACUGUCUCAACUACCCACCCGGCGAAAUUGUAGUACCGGUGAAGAUGCCGGUUACCUGCGGCAAGACGGAAAGACCCCAUGGAGCUUUACUGUAGCCUGAUAUUGGGUUUCGGAAAUCUAUGUACAGGAUAGGCGGGAGACUGGGAAACAUGAGCGUCAGCUUGUGUGGAGUCGAUGUUGGGAUACCGCCCUUAGGUUUCUGGAAUUCUAACCUGCGGCCGUGAAACCGGUCGGGGGACAUUGUCAGGUGGGCAGUUUGACUGGGGCGGUCGCCUCCGAAAAGGUAACGGAGGCGCUCAAAGGUUAGCUCAGCACGGACGGAAACCGUGCCUCUGAGUGUAAACGCAAAAGCUAGCCUAACUGCGAGGGUGACGGCCCGAGCAGUAACGAAAGUUGGAGUUAGUGAUCCGGCGGUAUGUGAAUGGAAAUGCCGUCGCUCAACGGAUAAAAGCUACCCUGGGGAUAACAGGCUGAUCUCCCCCAAGAGUCCACAUCGACGGGGAGGUUUGGCACCUCGAUGUCGGCUCAUCACAUCCUGGGGCUGUAUUCGGUCCCAAGGGUUCGGCUGUUCGCCGAUUAAAGUGGUACGCGAGCUGGGUUCAGAACGUCGCGAGACAGUUCGGUCCCUAUCUGUCGUGGGCGCAGGAUAUUUGAGGAGCUCUGUCCUUAGUACGAGAGGACCGGGAUGGACGUACCUCUGGUGCACCAGUUGUCAUGCCAAUGGCACGGCUGGGCAGCUAUGUACGGAACGGAUAAACGCUGAAAGCAUCUAAGCGUGAAGCCGACUCCAAGAUUAGAUAUCCCAUCGUAUAACGAGUAAGACCCCUUGAAGACUACGAGGUUGAUAGGCUGCGUGUGUAAGUGCCGUGAGGCAUUCAGCUUGGCAGUACUAAUAGGUCGAGGGCUUGACCAC
RNAcentral lists this ribosomal RNA (2328 nucleotides) under human gut metagenome. RNAcentral's name for it is "bacterial LSU rRNA". It matches the Rfam family "Bacterial large subunit ribosomal RNA", at positions 507 to 2925 of the family's 2925-position model. The record is from RNAcentral.